This 466-nucleotide ribosomal RNA is filed under the name uncultured bacterium. RNAcentral's name for it is "partial 16S ribosomal RNA". It matches the Rfam family "Bacterial small subunit ribosomal RNA", at positions 28 to 507 of the family's 1533-position model. The record is from RNAcentral.
GACGAACGCUGGCGGCGCGCCUAACACAUGCAAGUCGAACGAGCGAGAGAGAGCUUGCUUUCUUGAGCGAGUGGCGAACGGGUGAGUAACGCGUGAGGAACCUGCCUCAAAGAGGGGGACAACAGUUGGAAACGACUGCUAAUACCGCAUAAGCCCACGGUGCCGCAUGGCACAGAGGGAAAAGGAGCAAUCCGCUUUGAGAUGGCCUCGCGUCCGAUUAGCUAGUUGGUGAGGUAACGGCCCACCAAGGCGUCGAUCGGUAGCCGGACUGAGAGGUUGGACGGCCACAUUGGGACUGAGACACGGCCCAGACUCCUACGGGAGGCAGCAGUGGGGAAUAUUGCACAAUGGGGGAAACCCUGAUGCAGCGACGCCGCGUGGAGGAAGAAGGUCUUCGGAUUGUAAACUCCUGUUGUUGGGGAAGAUAAUGACGGUACCCAACAAGGAAGUGACGGCUAACUACGUG